RNAcentral lists this long non-coding RNA (1321 nucleotides) under Lynx canadensis (Canada lynx). RNAcentral describes it as "lncRNA (ENSLCNG00005001243.1)". The record is from RNAcentral. Lineage: Eukaryota; Metazoa; Chordata; Mammalia; Carnivora; Felidae.
GCCAGACCACAGACUCACUGACUUUAUCCUACAUUUAGGGCUCUUAUUGAAGUAUGUGGAUCACAGUGAGCUCAGGAUGAAAGGCACUGACUGGAUAGAGAAAGAUCUGAGAGAUCUGCUGUGUGACCCUGAGCCCUCUCUGCGCAUCAUCGCCUCUCAGGCUCUCUUCCAAGUCCGGGAGGUAGGGACUGAACAAGACCCCAGGCAGACUGUUUGCGGCUUGAGGAAACUCAUGGGCUGUCUUUCUACUUAGAAAUGCAAGAGAGAAGCAUCCAUUAAGAAGCAGAGGUCGGGGGCACCUGGCUGGGCCUGUCGGUGGAACAUAUGACUCUUGAUCUCAGGGUCGUGAGUUCAAGCCCCACGUUGGGCAGAGAGAUUACUUUAAAAAAAAAAAAAAAAAAAAAAGCAGAGGUCUGAUUUUUUUACUGACUACCUCCGCAGUUUGGGAAAGGCUGAAGAAGUAUUUAAUAGUGAUUGUAUUAACAAAUUCAAACAUCCAAAUAUUCCAAAUAUCUCCAUUAUUUUUAUACAAGGCUCUUCUCAAACAUAGUUUUGUGUUUUCAUGGAAUUUUUUAAAUAUAUAAAACAAAAAUUUCUGGACAUUUAAUUUUGUUAUAAUAUGUUAAAAAUUCGGUAUAAGUCAAUAGGAUUUCAGUUUUAUCAUCAUCAUAUACUAUUAAAAGGUAUUGCUCAUUAUCUAUUGCUGGCCUAGCCAUGUCUUUAUUAUUUUAGAUUCUUACUUUUUUACUCUUAGUAUUGCUUUUCUUCCUUAUACUGAGAUACAUAUUUUAUUAAAAAUUAUUAUUUUGGGGGGCACCUGGGUGGCUCAGUCGGUUAAGCGUCUGACUUCGGCUCAGGUCAUGAUCUCAUAGUUUGUGAGUUUGAGCCCCGUAUCAGGCUCUGUGCUGACAGCUCAGAGCCUGGAGCCUGCUUCUGAUUCUGUGUCUCAUUCUCUCUCUGCUCCUCCCCCACUUGUGCUCUGUCUCUCAAAAAUAAAUAAAAUGUAAAAAAAAAAAAAUUAUUUUUUCUUAUUGAAAGAUUAAACUAUCAUAUAAGUAAGAGAUGGGCUUAGGGAAUGAGAGCAUCUCCUAGACAUCAACCCUGCCAAGUAAACUUGCACUGGGUAAAAUUGUAAAAUCUCUCUCUCCUUCCAGCUUCCCCCUCCUUCCUGGCUCGAAGCUCCUUUUUCUAUCUCUCCCUCUCAGGAAGGGAUCUAAUGAACUGGCUGUUAUGCGAAAAUGAUUAAUAAUGCAAGUUUUAAUGAGCCUAACUCUUCCAGGGAUGUUUGCUUUUUUUUUUAAUUUUUAAUUUUAGAAAGAGA